GCCAUACCAUGUGACCUCGUGCUCAGUAUCAAAAGCCUGGGGAAAGAAGGAGGAAGGGAAGAUAUUUGGGGUUAUAGAAUUUGUCUUCCCAAAUAACUGCCACGUGAUCUGAGGUCCCGCUUUCCAGCAAGUGGCUAAGCGUUUGCCUGCUGAUAGGAAGCAGUGACCUGGGGUUAUGAUAGAAAAUAUGCUCAAUUAGCACCUUUUAUAUGAACUGUACAAAGAGCCAGAUGAAUUUGAAUGCUGACACCAUAAAUGUGCUGCUGCCUCAGUAGACAAACACCAGUCUAAAUGAAGUAAUGUCACGUGGUCACCUUCCUCUUAGUAGGUCCCUUUGGCAGUGGAUGAUGAUAAAUGCUUGCUGUAACCCACCUCAGCCACAAUCCUCCCCAGACCAAGUUCCUCAUUCACUUGCACCCUUCUGGCAGUUGGCUUCAAAGAGCAUGCUUUGAUGUUUUGUAUGGCAUCCCUACAUUUGCAAAGCCUGUUUGUGCUUUUCGCAAGUCAUACUUAUCAAGGUGAUUGUUGCUUUGGUUCUUGGCAUCAACAAUAAAAUACUGGACAUCUUACAAAAUGCAGCUUGUUUAGAGAUAGCAGUGAUGAAAGCAAAAAUACUUUCCUUGCAGAAAAAUAGUAACUCAUCUCAAUAAUAAAAGGAGAUAUGAUAAUGAGUUUUAUCAUUUGGUGUAUACUCAGCAGAAAUAGAUAAUUAUUAAUUUUAUUGUAUUAAGAACUGAUUUACCUAAUUAUGAACGCUGAAGAAGGUUUUGAUUGGCUAUCAUCAAGAAUGACUAACUCCUACAGAAAUAAAAAACUGCUUAAAGGAUGAUCAAGAGAAGGAACAGUAUACAUAAUAAGAGAUAAGUUUGAAAAAUGCAGAUUUUUUGCAGUAACACUGGGAUGGAUGUACAUUGAAGUCAGCAGUAGAUCUAAAUUCUGUCUAACUGAAUAUGAUUAGUACCUGUCUGAACAAAUUUGUCUUUGGGUGGAGUUUAUAAUCAAAUAAGACAACACUGAUAGAUUUGUAGAUGAAUUUGCUAUUGUGUCUGUACAUUUGAAAAGAAUCCAAUGUUCAUGUUAAAAGUAAAUUUGAUCAUCAAGGGAGAUUUAGUUUGAGCAAAGUGAAAUGGAUACAAAUUGAAAGGCAUAUUUUAUAUGAGACGUUCAAUAUGAACUAGUUUUGAUUUUUGAAAGUUAAUCAAUUUCAAUUUGAUAAAGCAUGAGAUUUAAGUAAUCUUUACGUUGUAAAUGUUUAUCAUUUCUGAAGACUCUGCAUUACUACACAGAAAGCAGUAAUGAUCAAAGGACUGUUGCGACUAGGAAGCUUCUACUAAAGAUGAAAUGAAUCUUGUAGGUUCAGUCCUACCACUUUACAUUCGCGAGAUCACCAUGUGACUAGUUUUUCAACAGAGUAAAGAAAUAUUGAAAACUUCUAUCAGUAUCUCUUCUCUAAUGCCAGUAGUAUUGUCAGAAAACAGCAGAUGCUUAUUUACAUAUUAACAAGCUAUUCCAAAGCUAAGCAGCUAGUGUCAAAUACGUAAUUUGGGUUUUUGACUCCUCUCUUUACCCAUAGAUUUUGAAUCCAAAUAUUUCCUUUACAUAAACAGGAACAAAAAACUGCUGUUUCUCGAGUUAGAUUCUUUUGUUCAAACAAUGUAAAGUGAACCUUACUUCUAUGAAAUCAGGUUAUAGUUACAGGUCAACGAUUCUACAGAAUUACUGUACUCAGAACAGCGCAAAUUAUUCCACUCCAUUCUAAUAUUUAAUGAUAUAUGCAAGCAAAAAGGCCUGUUAUCUAUCGCUGGAGAAUAGCCUGCUCUCAGAAAAUGGACAAAUACUAAUGCUGGGAAAAAAUCUGUUUAACAAUUCAAAUACUUCUACUAGCUUGUUGUCAGCGUGAUAUACUUUGUGUAUUGUAUUUCUACAGUUUUCUGCUCUCUAAGGCAUUUUCAUGCACUGAGUGCAACAGAAAAAUGUGAAUGUUUCAUGAAUGAAAUAUUUGAAGCAGUACGCUUAACCUUUUAAUACUUAAUAUUCGUGCUAUGACUAAUUACUGUACAGUUUAUGAAUUUCACUUUUCUUAAACAUUAGUUUAAAGCUGGGAUUUACAUUGUGAAUUGCCUUCCCUCCAAACUUGUCUACGGUCCUACCUCCUGUGCUGUAAUCUUACUCCCAGACUGGAUAUAGUUAUGCUACAACCUCACCUUAUACGAUGCAAACCAACUGCAGGCUGCACUUACAAGUUGGUUAUGUUUUG
Molecule: long non-coding RNA, 2257 nt
Organism: Numida meleagris (helmeted guineafowl)
Lineage: Eukaryota; Metazoa; Chordata; Aves; Galliformes; Numididae
Exons: 3
Source: RefSeq, a predicted model, not a curated record